AUUGAACGCUGGCGGCAUGCCUUACACAUGCAAGUCGAACGGCAGCACGGGAGUAAUCCUGGUGGCGAGUGGCGAACGGGUGAGUAAUACAUCGGAACGUGUCCUGUAGUGGGGGAUAGCCCGGCGAAAGCCGGAUUAAUACCGCAUACGAUCUACGGAAGAAAGCGGGGAUCCUUCGGGACCUCGCGCUAUAGGGGCGGCCGAUGGCAGAUUAGCUAGUUGGUGGGGUAAAGGCCUACCAA
RNAcentral lists this ribosomal RNA (242 nucleotides) under uncultured bacterium. Its description in RNAcentral is "partial 16S ribosomal RNA". It matches the Rfam family "Bacterial small subunit ribosomal RNA", at positions 30 to 271 of the family's 1533-position model. The record is from RNAcentral.